Molecule: ribosomal RNA, 227 nt
Filed under: uncultured bacterium
Lineage: Bacteria
Description: partial 16S ribosomal RNA
Rfam family: Bacterial small subunit ribosomal RNA
Source: RNAcentral
CAUGCCCGCGUGAGGGACUAAGGCCCUAUGGGUUGUAAACCUCUUUUGUAAGGGAGCAAUAAGCCCCACGUGUGGGGCGAUGAGAGUACCUUACGAACUAAGCAUCGGCUAACUCCGUGCCAGCAGCCGCGGUAAUACGGGGGAUGCGAGCGUUAUCCGGAUUCAUUGGGUUUAAAGGGUGCGUAGGCGGUACUGUUAAGUCAGCGGUGAAAUGCCAGCGCUCAACG